This 764-nucleotide ribosomal RNA is filed under the name uncultured Atopobium sp. RNAcentral describes it as "bacterial SSU rRNA". It matches the Rfam family "Bacterial small subunit ribosomal RNA", at positions 88 to 868 of the family's 1533-position model. The record is from RNAcentral. Lineage: Bacteria; Bacillati; Actinomycetota; Coriobacteriia; Coriobacteriales; Atopobiaceae.
GUAUAAAGUGGCGAACGGCUGAGUAACACGUGGGCAACCUGCCCCUCUCAUUGGGAUAGCCACGGGAAACCGUGGAUAAUACCGAAUACUUCAAGUCUCCCGCAUGGAAGACUCGAGAAAGCUCCGGCGGAGAGGGAUGGGCCCGCGGCCUGUUAGCUUGUUGGUGGGGUAACGGCCUACCAAGGCAAUGAUGGGUAGCUGGGUUGAGAGACCGACCAGCCAGAUUGGGACUGAGACACGGCCCAGACUCCUACGGGAGGCAGCAGUGGGGAAUCUUGCACAAUGGGCGAAAGCCUGAUGCAGCGACGCCGCGUGCGGGAUGAAGGCCUUCGGGUUGUAAACCGCUUUCAGCAGGGACGAGGCGAAAGUGACGGUACCUGCAGAAGAAGCCCCGGCUAACUACGUGCCAGCAGCCGCGGUAAUACGUAGGGGGCAAGCGUUAUCCGGAUUCAUUGGGCGUAAAGCGCUCGUAGGCGGUCUGUUAGGUCGGGAGUUAAAUCCGGGGGCUCAACCCCCGUUCGCUCCCGAUACCGGCAGACUUGAGUUUGGUAGGGGAAGGUGGAAUUCCUAGUGUAGCGGUGGAAUGCGCAGAUAUUAGGAAGAACACCAGUGGCGAAGGCGGCCUUCUGGGCCAUAACUGACGCUGAGGAGCGAAAGCUAGGGGAGCAAACAGGAUUAGAUACCCUGGUAGUCCUAGCCGUAAACGAUGGACACUAGGUGUGGGGGAAUAUUUCUUCCGUGCCGCAGCUAACGCAUUAAGUGUC